UUCUUGUCUAAAGGAAAUUCAGGACAAAGUGGAGCAGAGACUGAACAAAAGUCCAUCUAGAGUCCAGCCCAACUUGGGAUCCAUCUGAUGCACAGGAACCAAUCCCAGACACUAUUACUGAUGCCAAGUUGUGCUUGAAGAAAGGAACCUAGUAUGGUCCUCUGACCGGCUCAUCCAGCACCUGACUGAGACAGAUGCAGAUACAGCAAAUGAUUGGACUGAGAUCAGAACCCGUAUGGAGGAGUGAAGGGAAGGACUGAAGGAGCUGAAGGGGAUUACAGCCCCACAGGAGGAUCAAUAGUAUCAACUAAUCAGUACCUCUUUGAGCUCCCAGAGACUGGGCUACCAACCAAAAAUCAUACAGCUGGUUCAUGCCUUCCACUAGAUAUGUAGCAGAGGAUUGCCUUGUCUGGCCUUAGUGAUCCUUUAGAAUUGUGAUGUGAUGCCUGGGGAAGGGGAUGCUAACAGGGUGAGGUCUGACAGGGUGGGUGGGUGGUGGAGCACUCUCUUAGAAGCAUAGGGGUGAGGGAAUG
RNAcentral lists this long non-coding RNA (533 nucleotides) under Rattus norvegicus (Norway rat). RNAcentral describes it as "long non-coding RNA NONRATT020590". The record is from RNAcentral. Lineage: Eukaryota; Metazoa; Chordata; Mammalia; Rodentia; Muridae.